Long non-coding RNA from Papaver somniferum (opium poppy), 1334 nucleotides. RefSeq lists it as uncharacterized. NCBI's taxonomy places the organism in Eukaryota, Viridiplantae, Streptophyta, Magnoliopsida, Ranunculales, Papaveraceae. The transcript is spliced from 5 exons. The record is from RefSeq and is a predicted model, not a curated record.
AAGUGUUAAAGAAGAAACAGAAGGGGUAUGAGUGUUCUUGUGUCCAUUUUAUUAAGUGUAUAACAGAUUCUGUUUGUGAUUGUAUGUUCUGGACUAUACGGAUAUUCAACUGGAACGACCUAAAGUCUGAUCGGGUGAAGCAAAAGUUGUAAUGACUAAUUAAAAUCAGGAGAAAAAGCUCCAUGCGCACAAUUAAAACCGGGUUCAACACUUCUCUUAGAAUUUCUAGAAUCUGAACCGAGUACUUUGUCGUUCAGAGUGAAGUUCAUGUUUUCUUUCUAUUACGUAGAUACUGAAUGAUGAAAUACUUUUGCUAUGUUGGAGAGGAAGCUAGAUGAACGUUAGGAUCUUAAACUGGAUAAAAGUUUUUUUACAAUAUUGUAUCCUAGGUACAAGGCCUUUAUUUUUGUGCUAACCAUGACUGACACAGAAACUAAAGAAAAUUCUUUGUUAACUUGAUUUAGUGUCCGAAUAUGAGAUCAGUUUACAUUGUUGGGUAUGUUUUGGUUCAUGUAUAGCAUUCCUCUUUGACAACUUAAUGUUUUUGUCUUCCAGGAAUAAUUAUCUCUUCCAGAGGGGAUGGCAUCAGUAGAUGGGUUAACAACAAGGAUGAUGGACCAUUACAAUAUUCUGCUUAAGGAUGGAGUGAUGGCAAAAUAACCCGAUCAUAUGUGGAUGCAGAGACAAACUUGAGGUUCGUCAACUUUGAAAAGUUUAUGAGAAGAUCUAAAGAAGUUGACGAACCCUCCAUCCAUGCUUCUCAAUCUUCCCAAGUCUUUAAUUUUCCUGAUGAGUCUAGAAAUCAUUGGCUUCUUGUUUUACAAUCUCCUAAGAGAUCAGGCCUAAAUGUGAAUGCUUAUGAAGAUAUCCAUAUGUGUUCAGUGCAUCUGCGAAUCAAGCUCCACUAAUUUCAAAAUAUGUGGAAAACAACCAGUAUUGGGAUGGAGAUCAGGAAAUAAGCCAAAAACAAGGAUUUCAGAACUUUCAUCGAGGAGAGAUCUUCAUGUAGACUUAGCAUAAGGGGCGCUCCAUGCACUUCGCUUGCAAGCAUUAGCCCGGUGUACUAUUCCGAUCAGUUGGACAGCUCAGUACAUCUUUUUGCUGGUUUUAGCUUCUUUUUUUUGCGCUGUAGGUUGAGUUUCAUGGAUUAUGUAAGAAAAAUCAUCUUUAAGAAUGCUUAUACUAAUAGUUCUACUUAUAACUUAGAAUCGCGAAUUCACUAUUCAAUACUUGUGUAGAGUUUGUUGGGGUUUUUUGACCGAAGUGUCAGCUUGGUUCAAAUGUAAAUUGAGAUACUGCUGUAAAAAAAUUCAAAUUUAAAUUGAAUGGUGGAA